This 420-nucleotide ribosomal RNA is filed under the name uncultured fungus. RNAcentral's name for it is "eukaryotic LSU rRNA". It matches the Rfam family "Eukaryotic large subunit ribosomal RNA", at positions 1 to 422 of the family's 3401-position model. Lineage: Eukaryota; Fungi. The record is from RNAcentral.
GACCUCGGAUCAGGUAGGGAUACCCGCUGAACUUAUGCAUAUCAAUAAGCGGAGGAAAAGAAACCAACAGGGAUUGCCUCAGUAACGGCGAGUGAAGCGGCAACAGCUCAAAUUUGAAAUCUGGCCUUCGGGUCCGAGUUGUAAUUUGCAGAGGAUGCUUCGAGCAUGGUCUAGUCUAAGUUCCUUGGAAUAGGACGUCAUAGAGGGUGAGAAUCCCGUAUGCGACUGGGUGCCUAAGCUCAUGUGAAGCUCCUUCGACGAGUCGAGUUGUUUGGGAAUGCAGCUCAAAAUGGGUGGUAAAUUUCAUCUAAAGCUAAAUAUUGGCCAGUGACCGAUAGCCCACAAGUAGAGUGAUCGAAAGAUGAAAAGCACUUUGGAAAGAGAGUUAAAUAGCACGUGAAAUUGUUGAAAGGGAAGCGC